GUAGGGUGCAAGCGUUAAUCGGAAUUACUGGGCGUAAAGCGUGCGCAGGCGGUUGUGCAAGACAGAUGUGAAAUCCCCGGGCUCAACCUGGGAAUUGCAUUUGUGACUGUACGGCUAGAGUGUGUCAGAGGGGGGUAGAAUUCCACGUGUAGCAGUGAAAUGCGUAGAGAUGUGGAGGAAUACCGAUGGCGAAGGCAGCCCCCUGGGAUAACACUGACGCUCAUGCACGAAAGCGUGGGGAGCAAACAGGAUUAGAUACCCUGGUAGUCCCACGCCCCUAAACGAUGUCAACUAGUUGUCGGGUCUUAAUUGACUUGGUAACGCAGCUAACGCGUGAAGUUGACCGCCUGGGGAGUACGGUCGCAAGAUUA
RNAcentral lists this ribosomal RNA (371 nucleotides) under uncultured organism. RNAcentral describes it as "partial 16S ribosomal RNA". It matches the Rfam family "Bacterial small subunit ribosomal RNA", at positions 527 to 896 of the family's 1533-position model. The record is from RNAcentral.